GUCUAAGUAUCAUUAAGUGAAUACAUAGCUUAAUGGUGGGAACGCAUGGAACUGAAACAUCUAAGUACCUGAAGGAAGAGCAAGAAAUUCGAUUCCGUAAGUAGCGGCGAGCGCACGCGGAUUAGCCCAAACCAAUACAGUUUGCUUUAUUGGGGUUGUGGACAUAUCAUAACGAAGAGGUAUCGUAAUUGAAGAGGUUUGGAAAGACCCACCACAGAAGGUAAUAGUCCUGUAUGUUAAACGAGAAGACUUUAGAUAUGAUCCAGAGUACCACGG
This 276-nucleotide ribosomal RNA is filed under the name Clostridioides difficile. Its description in RNAcentral is "partial 23S ribosomal RNA". It matches the Rfam family "Bacterial large subunit ribosomal RNA", at positions 142 to 420 of the family's 2925-position model. Lineage: Bacteria; Bacillati; Bacillota; Clostridia; Peptostreptococcales; Peptostreptococcaceae. The record is from RNAcentral.